Molecule: transfer RNA, 55 nt
Filed under: Flustrellidra hispida
Lineage: Eukaryota; Metazoa; Bryozoa; Gymnolaemata; Ctenostomatida; Flustrellidridae
Description: tRNA-Ile
Source: RNAcentral
ACACCGUGUAAUAACGUAGUUAGCUAAGUUGAUAUCUUAGAAGAUUAACGGUAUG